Molecule: ribosomal RNA, 696 nt
Filed under: uncultured Anaerobacillus sp.
Lineage: Bacteria; Bacillati; Bacillota; Bacilli; Caryophanales; Bacillaceae
Description: bacterial SSU rRNA
Rfam family: Bacterial small subunit ribosomal RNA
Source: RNAcentral
UUAGCGGCGGACGGGUGAGGAACGCGUGGGCAACCUGCCCUGUAGACUGGGAUAACUUCGGGAAACCGAAGCUAAUACCGGAUAAUCUUUGGAGCCUCAUGGUUCUAAAGUAAAAGUUGGGUUUACCUAACACUACAGGAUGGGCCCGCGUCGCAUUAGCUAGUUGGUAAGGUAACGGCUUACCAARGCGACGAUGCGUAGCCGACCUGAGAGGGUGAUCGGCCACACUGGGACUGAGACACGGCCCAGACUCCUACGGGAGGCAGCAGUAGGGAAUCUUCCGCAAUGGACGAAAGUCUGACGGAGCAACGCCGCGUGAGCGAUGAAGGCCUUCGGGUCGUAAAGCUCUGUUGUUAGGGAAGAACAAGUACCAUUCAAAUAGGGUGGUACCUUGACGGUACCUAACGAGAAAGCCACGGCUAACUACGUGCCAGCAGCCGCGGUAAUACGUAGGUGGCAAGCGUUGUCCGGAAUUAUUGGGCGUAAAGCGCGCGCAGGCGGUAUCUUAAGUCUGAUGUGAAAGCCCACGGCUCAACCGUGGAGGGUCAUUGGAAACUGGGAUACUUGAGUACAGAAGAGGAGAGUGGAAUUCCAUGUGUAGCGGUGAAAUGCGUAGAUAUAUGGAGGAACACCAGUGGCGAAGGCGACUCUCUGGUCUGUAACUGACGCUGAGGCGCGAAAGCGUGGGGAGCAAAC